CUGUAACUGAUUCAGGCAGUCAGAAUAUGCUAAUAGCAGCACCCACUUCACAUCGCGAUACAGGAAAUGUAGAAGCAGGAUGAUGGGCAUCUAUGUGCUUGAGAGAGACGCUCAGAAAUUACUUGGAAAAGCAAAACUGUUCCUUGCACUUCCAUACACGUUCCCCGGGAACCUAUUCAGAAGCUCCAGUGAGUGGUCCAUCAGCACAGGUUUCAAGCUGCAAGCUGGAGUCUUUCUACCACAGGCAACAGGAGCCUAGCAUGGCUGCCCUCCGAGAGGCCCAACAAGCAGCUGAAAGAGACAGUUGCAGAUCCUUACACUCAACCAGUGAACAGAAAAGACUGGAAGAAGCUGAAAAGAAAGGCAACCCCAUAGGAAGACCAGCAGUUUCAACCUGAACCUCUGAAAUCUCUCAGACAUUGAGCUACCAACAAAGCAGCAAACACCAGCUGAUAUGAGCUGGCCUUGAACUCAGAAAUUCGCCUGCCUCUGCCUCCCAAGUACUGGGAUUAAAGGCGUGUGCCACCACGCCCAGCCUGUUUCAACUUUUUAAAGAAAUGUUUCCUCUCUCUCCAGUUGAAUUGUUUUAAAGACUUGCAACACAACUUGGCACAUUAUCAGUAGCAUAUCAGUCAAAUAUUCAGAAAUUGCCAUUGAGUGGUUAAGUGGACUAAAUUUCAUUUAUCAGUUUCUAGCAUGACUCCCUCAAAACAUUUUAAAGUUCUUGAAGAAAGGGUAUUUUGUUUCUUAGAAUAUCGCUGUAUUCAAAUUAGUUUAUAGAAAACAUGUUUAUUACUGUUUUCUUCUCAACCGGGUAUUAAUAGUGAAAUUGGGGACAUGAAUCAUACUUUUUCAGUUUCAAAAGUUAAUGGGAGACAAAGAGUUAUUUAUUGAAUUUUGGUGUCGUUUCUUGUAUUUUCAACUUAUUACGUGUAUGGUAUUGUUUGGGUUCCAAGUUGGAUCAAGCUAAACUUAAAAUAACUACUAGAUUUAAAUAGGUAGUUAUUACCAAAUAUAUGCGGUUUCUUGUGAAUGCAUUAUUUAACAUCCAGUGGUGAAAUUGCUGUUUUAAAGGCCAAUAAAAACAUUCUCUAACACUAGAUCAAUUUAUGGAUAGAAAUUGAAACCAUAAAAGCAUACUGUAUAGAGAGACCCAGUGCAAAUACACUUAAGUGAAUUUAUAAAAUUCUUUAUUUAUAAUAAAGUGGUUUUUUUUAACAGUUUGGACUUAUAUAACUUUUGUAAUAUAGAGAAAGUACACUAAUGUUGGUUUUUCUUUAUAUAUCACAUUUUUAAUACCACCAAUACAAAUUUUAAUAAAACCUUUACAAAUGACCAACCUUUACAAAAUUAUUACUUUUAAUUUAAAUUAAUUGACUUACCAUGAAAUAUUUCAGUAUCAGAUAGAAAAAGUAUAAAGGGAAUUGAAUGAUUUAAAGAAUGCAUUUAUUUAAUUAACAUUUUCAUUAUAUAUUGGAAUAUGUACAGUUUGUUGUCUAUCAGGGGGCAGAUGCUUCUGAGUUCAUUCACAUAUUUCCCCGAGAGACUAAUGUUUAGAUGAAAUAAAAUUUACUAUGCAGUGUAUAUGGCAUAUAUAAUAAAAAAAAAACCUCUGCUGUUCAUUACAUUCGAGAAGAGCUGAGAAUAAUGAUGUUUUUAUAAUUAAGCAUUCUUGAUGAUUCAUUUUGGUUAUAUUAAAUACAUCCUUGCUGUCAAUUUUUCAUGAUCUUUUAAUAUAUUUAUCCAAAAUUAAGAACAAAUAAUAAAAAUAAAUAUCAGGCAAUUUACAUAUACUGAAUAUUGGACAGAAAUAUACUGUUAUUAAGACUGAAAUUGCUCAUCUUUACAUAUUUUAUGGUGAGCCUACUGAAUACAUGAACAGAUAUGAGAAAAUUGAUAAUAAUGAAAAUUGAUUCUUAGUGAUUUAUGCUUGAUAUAUGAUUGUAUAUGAUGGUACCAUUUUAAUGUGUUGUAUAGUAGUGUUUAUGAGUGUAUUUUAUCUGUCAUAACACCCUACAUUGUUGCUGUAGUAUUCAGAGUUAAGGAAGAUGU
This is a long non-coding RNA of Mus musculus (house mouse), 2052 nucleotides long. RefSeq annotates it as predicted gene, 53927. NCBI's taxonomy places the organism in Eukaryota, Metazoa, Chordata, Mammalia, Rodentia, Muridae. The transcript is spliced from 2 exons. The record is from RefSeq and is a predicted model, not a curated record.